AGAAUCCUGGGAGCUGUAGUUCAUUCAGGGAGCUGGGAUUUUAGCUCUGUGAUGAGUGAACUACAGUUCCCAGGAUUCU
Molecule: non-coding RNA, 79 nt
Organism: Podarcis lilfordi (Lilford's wall lizard)
Lineage: Eukaryota; Metazoa; Chordata; Lepidosauria; Squamata; Lacertidae
Source: the annotation of a GenBank genome assembly